UACGGAGGGCGCAAGCGUUGUUCGGAAUUACUGGGCGUAAAGCGCGCGCAGGCGGAUCGGUAAGUGGGGUGUGAAAGCCCGGGGCUCAACUCCGGAACUGCAUUCGAAACUACCGGGCUAGAGUCCCGGAGGGGAGGGCAGAAUUCCCAGUGUAGGGGUGAAAUCCGUAGAUAUUGGGAGGAAUACCAGCGGCGAAGGCGGCCCUCUGGACCAUGACUGACGCUCCGGCGCGAAAGCGUGGGGAGCAAACAGG
This 253-nucleotide ribosomal RNA is filed under the name uncultured bacterium. Its description in RNAcentral is "partial 16S ribosomal RNA". It matches the Rfam family "Bacterial small subunit ribosomal RNA", at positions 524 to 776 of the family's 1533-position model. The record is from RNAcentral.